CCUACGGGAGGCUGCAGUGGGGAAUAUUGGACAAUGGGGGGAACCCUGAUCCAGCCAUGCCGCGUGUGUGAAGAAGGCCCUCGGGUUGUAAAGCACUUUCAGUGAGGAAGAACGCCUGGUGGUUAAUACCCAUCAGGAAAGACAUCACUCACAGAAGAAGCACCGGCUAACUCCGUGCCAGCAGCCGCGGUAAUACGGAGGGUGCGAGCGUUAAUCGGAAUUACUGGGCGUAAAGCGCGCGUAGGUGGCUUGAUAAGCCGGUUGUGCAAGCCCCGGGCUCAACCUGGGAACGGCAUCCGGAACUGUCAAGCUAGAGUGCAGGAGAGGAAGGUAGAAUUCCCGGUGUAGCGGUGAAAUGCGUAGAGAUCGGGAGGAAUACCAGUGGCGAAGGCGGCCUUCUGGAUUGACACUGACACUGAGGUGCGAAAGCGUGGGUAGCAAACAGGAUUAGAUACCCCAGUAGUC
RNAcentral lists this ribosomal RNA (465 nucleotides) under Vreelandella stevensii. RNAcentral describes it as "partial 16S ribosomal RNA". It matches the Rfam family "Bacterial small subunit ribosomal RNA", at positions 338 to 795 of the family's 1533-position model. The record is from RNAcentral. Lineage: Bacteria; Pseudomonadati; Pseudomonadota; Gammaproteobacteria; Oceanospirillales; Halomonadaceae.